GCGGUGUUGUUUCUCAGUGAUGAGAAAAAUGAGAGGGAGGCGGUGGAAUCUUUUAAUAGUAUGGCGGUAGAAUAAUGGAGUUGUAAACAAGAGGUGGUGUCGAGUUGUAAACAUAAGGAGGAAGGCGUAAAAGAGAUGGUGAAGGUGGAGGUGGAGGUGGAGACUAGUAAAUGUAAGGAGGAGAAGGUGAUGGAGAUGGUGGAGGUGGUGACUUGUAGACAUAUGGUGGAGGUGAUGGGGAAAAUGGUGGAGGUGGGGACUUGUAGACAUAUGGUGGAGGUGGUGAGAGAGAUGGUGGAGGUGGAGACUUGUAGACAUAUGGUGGAGGUGGUGAGGGAGAUGGUGGAGGUGGAGACUUGUAGACAUAAGGAGGAGGUGGUGAGGGAGAUGGUGGAGGUGGUGAUUUGUAAACAUAAGGUGGAGGUGGUGAGGGAGAUGGUGGAGGUGGGGACUUGUACACAUAGGGUGGAGGAGGUGAGGGAGAUGGUGGAGGUGGUGACUUGUAGAUGUAAGGAGGAGGUGGUGAGGGAGAUGGUGGAGGUGGUGACUUGUAGGUGUAAGGUGGAGGUGGUGAGGGAGAUGGUGGAGGUGGUGACUUGUAGGUGUAAGGUGGAGGUGGUGAGGGAGAUGGUGGAGGUGGGGACUUGUACACAUAGGGUGGAGGAGGUGAGGGAGAUGGUGGAGGUGGUGACUUGUAGAUGUAAGGAGGAGGUGGUGAGGGAGAUGGUGGAGGUGGAGACUUGUAGACAUAUGGGGGAGGUGGUGAGGGAGAUGGUGGAGGUGGAGACUUGUAGACAUAUGGUGGAGGUGGUGAAAGAGAUGGUGGAGGUGGGGACUUGUACACAUAGGGUGGAGGUGGUGAGGGAGAUGGUGGAGGUGGGGACUUGUACACAUAGGGUGGAGGAGGUGAGGGAGAUGGUGGAGGUGGUGACUUGUAGAUGUAAGGAGGAGGUGGUGAGGGAGAUGGUGGAGGUGGAGACUUGUAGACAUAUGGGGGAGGUGGUGAGGGAGAUGGUGGAGGUGGAGACUUGUAGACAUAUGGUGGAGGUGGUGACUUGUAGAUGUAAGGAGGAGGUGGUGAGGGAGAUGGUGGAGGUGGUGACUUGUAGGUGUAAGGUGGAGGAGGUGAAGGAGAUGGUGGAGGUGGUGAUUUGUAAACAUAAGGUGGAGGUGGUGAGGGAGAUGGUGGAGGUGGUGACUUGUAGAUGUAAGGAGGAGGUGGUGAGGGAGAUGGUGGAGGUGGAGACUUGUAGACAUAUGGUGGAGGUGGUGAGGGAGAUGGUGGAGGUGGAGACUUGUAGACAUAUGGAGGAGGUGGUGAGGGAGAUGGUGGAGGUGGAGACUUGUAGACAUAUGGGGGAGGUGGUGAGGGAGAUNNNNNNNNNNNNNNNNNNNNNNNNNNNNNNNNNNNNNNNNNNNNNNNNNNNNNNNNNNNNNNNNNNNNNNNNNNNNNNNNNNNNNNNNNNNNNNNNNNNNAGGUGAAGGAGAUGGUGGAGGUGGGGAUUUGUAGAUGUAUGGAGGAGGAGGCGAAGGAGAUGGUGGAGGAGGUGACUUGUAGAUGUAAGGAGGUGGUGGUGAGGGAGAUGGUGGAGGUGGGGACUUGUAGACAUAGGGUGGGGGAGGUGAGGGAGACGGUGGAGGUGGGGACUUGUAGACAUAAGGAGGAGGUGAUGACGGAGAUAGUGGAGGUGGGGACUUGUAGACAUAAGGUGGGGGUGGUGAGGCAGAUGGUGGAGGUGGCGACUUGUAGACAUAGGGUGGUGGAGGCGAAUGAGAUGGUGGAGGUGGAGAUUUGUAGAUGUAAGGAGGAGGUGGUGAAGGAGAUGGUGGAGGUGGGGACUUGUAGGCAUAGGAUGGUGGUGAUUGAUAUGGAUGAGGUGGUGACCUGUAAACGUAUGGUGGUGCUCUUGAAGGUGUUUCCGGUUUCUUCCCAUAAUAUGGUUGUGGAGCAUUAUAAGGCUUAUCAUCAUUAGCAGCUACAUUGUUGAUGAUCAACAAGCACAACGCCAAUGCAUAAGCAAGGCAUGGCCAAAUUUUGGCCAUCUUAGUCAAAGUUAGAGCACUGAAAUUCUCUCAACUUCGUUUUUCUUAAGAUGUAUCACCUUUCUCUAUGUGUGGAUGAAAUGUUCAAGACAACCUACGAUUUAUAUAGUCACCCUUCCAAUAUUUUUUUAAAAUUUUAAUGCUUUAUGAUGCACCCAAACUCUCCACCAAACCAAAUAAUUGAAGAUUAUAUAUUCCCUCGACAUUUAUUAAUUUAUUGAGGAAUUUGUAGUUAUACCCCACUAAUUUGGAUACAAACCUUGAAUCGGUCCAAUAAAGUUGUAAAUAAAUCAUUCCCAAUUGUAUUUUAUACCUUAUUAUACAUAUAAUUUGUUCUUGUAAGAUGUGCAACUCUUAAAUGUUCAAUAUUUGAUAUAUGGGAAGCACCUUGUCAUCACGUUCAUAAUUUAAUAGUUUUUAAUAAUGUUUUUUUUUUCAUUUGAUUAUGCAAGAAGUCAAUGCUUUACAUCGUGUUAAAAAAUUGUAGAGAACCGAAACAUCUCCUAUCCAUUAAAUAAUGUAAAAAACACAAAAAUAUUUUCAUUUUUAAGGGUAAAUUAUAUAAAUUGUAUUCAUUCUUGUUCUGGUCACUUGCCUUUAAAUUGAUAAUGUGCAUAAUAACAUGUCAUUUUUCUGACUGAUAUAAUAACACAUUUAGUCAUCAAUAUUCACAUGUUCUAUCAAUUUGAUCUUUAAUCAAUAUAACAUUUCACAUUAACAAAUUUUAUCAAUUUGAUUCUCACACUUUCUAAUCGAAGCUAUCAGAAAGCUUUGACAAUAGAGGUAUUCCAAAACCCAAAAAAGAAAAAAAAAAUCUUCAAUCAUGCAAAUAUAACAUACUUUACUGGGUUUGUUAGGAAUUAUACUAUAUUAGAAUUUUAGUUUCUGGAUCAUUUAAAUUUUUACUUGUCCUUGUAUUUGAUGGUUACCCAAUUUAAAUCUUUAAAGUUGGAUGACCAAAACAGGAACGUAAGCAUAGUUGAGUAUUCAUUUGUAUAGUAUACAUUUUUUUUAUCAAAAGAGAUAAAAGAACAUUUUAACCCGUAUCUAUGGAUAAGAGUUUUAAUCAAGAAAUUUUAUUGUUCACUUGAGAAAAGAAAAAGUAUAUCACAUUAUAUCAAAAUUUCUAAUACUAUAUCAAUAUAAAAAAAUUUAACAUUUAUCAAAAUUUCUAAUGUUUUAAUUAAAAUUUUCGAUAUAUAUAUUUGCAUGAGCACAUGCUAGAAAUUUUAACACAUAAUUUUUUUAUAAUAUAUAAACAUCGAUAAUAGAUUGAAUGUGAGUUUAAGAAUGAUAAUUUUUAGAAUUGACUCGACUCGACCUAUGAACAAAUAAUAAUUGCUUCUCUUUUUCGUAUUUUGCCAAAAUUCAUUUUUUAUACCUAAUAUUUUAUUCCGACAUUCUAAAUAUCGGACAGCUAUUUUUAUUUUAAAGAACAAUAUUCUCAUCUAUGGAUAGAUCUAAUCUCAAUUUUUUAAUUGCAAAAUAAUUGAAAUUUUCCAACUUUGUUGUGCAUAUAAAUAUAUAUUUGGGAUAUUCAUGAAUAUAUAUUUAUGAUAUUUUUUAUUUUCCGUUUAUAUUGGGUCAAUUUACUACUUAAAGAUGAAAAUGAAUUGGUCAACUAAAUAGGAAGGUAUCUAAAUGUUGGAAAUGCAAAUGUAAAUGGUAAGCGAAGUCAACACUACUUCCAUUGCCUGACAAUAACUUAGGUCUAAAUCCAAUCAUGAUAUACACUAAUAAUAUCCAAUAAUUAUCUCAAUAUUGUUGAUUGAGCCUUAACUCGAUUGACAUGAACAUUAUUGUUAAUAUAGAAACACGUGAGUUUAAGUGCGUUUAAGUGCAUUAUCCUCCUAUUUAUGGGUUGAGAUGAGGUACGAAUAGUUUUAAGUAUUGUGUCAAAAAGAACAUAUAUCGCCAGAAUCUAUAACGAGAUUUUCAAAAAAAAUGAUUAUCUCAAUACUUAUAUUAUUAUUUAAAAUUUUGAUUGAAUUGAGAUAUUUUAUGUCUAUUUUAGCUCCACGUUCGAAAUUUAUGAUUAUCUUUCUUAAUAAAACAGUCUUAAAAAUUUGAACCUUUGUCAUUAAACCAAUAACUUGAUUAAUGUAACUUUAGCUUUUGAUAAUGAAUAUUCUAUCUCUGUCAAGCAUUUUUUUUGCCCACGUUCGUGUGAAUCUGGACGAAUCUAGAUAUCUGUUUGUUUAGGAAUUUUCUUUUGCUCAUUUUGUCUAAAUUCAUUAUGUACGUUAAUAUUAAAAAAUUUUAAAAACUAUCUAAAACUCAUAAAAUACAUUAAAACAAAAUUAUAAAGCACUAUAAAAGUUAUUGAAAAUAUUUAUAUAUUGUCAUUUUAAUAAUUUUUAUAAAUUUUAAACUAUUUUAUUAUCAUUUUUAGGAUUCUUUAUAUAAUUUUUAAAAAUAAUUUAUAAUUUUUAAUAAUUACGUCCACAAAGAACCUGAAAAAAUGAAUUUGGACGUUUUUAUGUCCAAGCACAGGCUAGACAUGUAUUUUAAAAAAAUUAUUUUUUUAGAAAUUUUUAAAAUUUGAAAAAUAUAUGUUGACUCGGUCAAUAUAUUUUCAUGUGGCAUACCACAUAUCAUCUUCACGUUGCUUUCGUCAAUCAUGUCAAUGUCCAUUAACAGUUAAAUUGAUCGAUGACAGUUUUUAAUUGUUUACAAAAAGAAUCUAAUUGAUUUUUUUUUAUCACUAUGAACUUAAUUGAUUUAAUUUUUUCAUAAGAUUUAAUUUUUUUCCUUGUACUAUAACAUACUUCCAAAGGAAGAAUCCAGGUUUAAAUCUUAAAGACAACAUUAUUGAGAGGGAUAACUACAAAUCCCGAACAUAAAUUGUAAAACUGAUAAUAUUGUAGUUCAUUGAGAAAUUUCUUUUGUCACGAUUUUGUCUAAUCCAGGGCCACGUAGACAAACUAAUCCACCUCAUCUCCCGCAUUGGAUUUCACCUUAAAUGGAAAAAAAUGGCACCGUUAACAAUUUUAUUAAAACAUUCAACUAAAGAAAAUACAUGGACUUAUAGCAAAAUUAGACCUAAUUUCUGUUAUAGUAUAGUUUAAGGUUUAAUAACGCCAAAAGAAAAAAACCAUAAACCUUAAUCUUGGGAUAAAGUUGGAUAUUACAAUUACAUUUAUUUUCUCCUCUCUAUAAGUUUAAAUAAUGAAAUUCAAGCUCGAUUGACAUAGAUGCAAUUGCAACAAUAAAAAGAACAUGCGCUCAAAUCCUUUUAUGAGUUAAAGGUUUGAGGGUAUGAGUAUAAGUUGACGUUGAAUCAAAAAAAGUGAAUCUCUUAUCAUUGAUAUUGCUAUUUUUUAAAAAAAGUCAUUGAUUAUUACAUUUCUCCUUUAGAAUUAUUUUAAAUUAAUUGUAAUAAAAUCAAAUUCAGUUUGGGUGUAUAUUGCUUGGGUUGGUGCAUAAUUUUAGAGUACAAAAAAAAAAAACAUUAGGUUAAGCAAUUUGAUGGUGCUUAGAAUUUAAAGAGAGGAUUUGUUAAUUAAUUAAUUAACAUCACAAAAUUCAAUAAGUUUGAAAUAAGAAUGGUAGAAGGAAAGGGGAGUAAAAGCAACAUAAUUAAAUGAAGAAAAGAUAAAUGAAAUAAAUGGAAAAUAUAUUAUGAAGUAAACAAUUACAAAGUAAAACCUCAACGCUUGAUAAAGAUAUCAAUGUAUCAAUUGUAACAAUAUAUAUUACUCAAAAACAAUCAAGAAAUCAUUCGAUGAUUUUCCACAUCAAUUUAUUUCUUCUCUUUAUUUUUCCAACUGUGAGAAACAUCCGUGUUAAUUUCAAAUAAAGGGCACGAGCAAGAAUUUCAAAGAAAGGGAAAUUGUUCCAAGAAACUAUAAUUUAGUUUCCUUGAACUUAGAAAAACAUUUGAUUUGGUUGAAUAAUGGUGUCGAUAUUGGCUUUUAGAGAUGCGGAAAAGGAAAUGAAGAUGGAGGAAAUGUAACUUUUUAGUAAUAUGGAGGUGGAGGCUUGUAGACAUAAGGUGGAGGAAGAGAAGGAGAAGGUGGAGGUGGAGGUGGAGGUGGGGACUUGUACACAUAUGGUGGAGGAGGUGAAGGAGAUGGUGGAGGUGGUGACUUAUAAAUGUAAGGAGGAGGUGGUGAGGGAGAUAGUGGAGGUGGAGACUUGUAAACAUAAGGUGGAGGAGGUGACAGAGAUGGUGGAGGUGGAGACUUAUAAACAUAAGGAGGAGGAGGUGAAGGAGAUGGUGGAGGUGGUGAGGAAGAUGGUGGUGGUGGAGACUUGUAAACAUAAGGAGGGGGAGGUGAAUGAGAUGGUGGAGGUGGGGACUUGUUAACAUAGGGUGGAGGUGGUGAGGGAGAUGAUGGAGGUGGGGACUUGUAGAUAUAAGGUGGAGGAGGUGAAGGAGAUGGCGGAGGUGGAGACUUGUAGACAUAGGGUGGAGGAGGAGAGGGAGAUGGCAGAGAUGGGGACUUGUAGAUAUAAGGUGGAGGAGGUGAAGGAGAUGGCGGAGGUGGAGACUUGUAGACAUAGGGUGGAGGAGGAGAGGGAGAUGGCAGAGAUGGGGACUUGUAGACAUAGGGUGGGGGAGGUGAGGGAGAUGGCGGAGGUGGAGACUUGUAAACAUAGGGUGGAGGAGGUGAGGGAGAUGGUGGAGGUGGUGACUUGUAGACAUAAGGUGGAGGUGAGGGAGAUGGCGGAGGUGGAGACUUGUAGACAUAGGGUGGUGGAGGAGAGGGAGAUGGCGGAGGUGGAGACUUGUAUACAUAGGGUGGAGGAGGAGAGGGAGAUGGCGGAGGUGGAGACUUGUAGACAUAGGGUGGAGGUGGUGAAGGUGAUGGUGGUGGUGGGGACUUGUAGACAUAGGGUGGAGGUGGUAAAGGUGAUGGUGGUGGUGUAGACCUGUAAAUAUAAGGAGGAGGUGGAGAGGGAGAUGGUGAAGGUGGAGACUUGUAGACAUAAGGCGGAAGAGGUGAAGGAGAUGGUGGAGGUGGUGACUUGUAGGCAUAAGGAGN
Molecule: long non-coding RNA, 7031 nt
Filed under: Gossypium raimondii (Peruvian cotton)
Lineage: Eukaryota; Viridiplantae; Streptophyta; Magnoliopsida; Malvales; Malvaceae
Description: long non-coding RNA (GRAI_LNC011027)
Source: RNAcentral